GACGAACGCUGGCGGCGUGCUUAACACAUGCAAGUCGAACGAAAAGACCCUGCGUUUGCGGCGUGCUCGAGAGGGGAACGGGGGAGUGACACGCGAGUAAAAUGUACCUAUCAGUGGGAUAAAUCUAGGGGACUGGGGCUCAUACAGGGUAGAAUAUCUUGCUGCAUGGUGGGGGAUGGAAAAAGUCGGCGGUUGGGGCUGGUAUCGAGGGUUAUCAGCUUGUUGGUGGGGUAGGGGCUUACAAAGGCUUUGACGGGUAGGCGGCCUGAGAGGGUGACCGGCCACAUGGGGACUGAGAGACGGCCCAGACGCCUACGGGAGGCAGCAGUGGGGAAUAUUGCAGAAUGGGCGGAAGCCUGAUGCAGCAACGCCGCGUGCGGGAUGACGGCCUUCGGGUUGUAAACCGCUUUCGCCUGUGACGAAGAGUGAGUGACGGUAAUGGGUAAAGAAGCACCGGCUAACUACGUG
This 468-nucleotide ribosomal RNA is filed under the name uncultured bacterium. RNAcentral's name for it is "partial 16S ribosomal RNA". It matches the Rfam family "Bacterial small subunit ribosomal RNA", at positions 28 to 507 of the family's 1533-position model. The record is from RNAcentral.